RNAcentral lists this ribosomal RNA (479 nucleotides) under uncultured bacterium. Its description in RNAcentral is "SSU rRNA". It matches the Rfam family "Bacterial small subunit ribosomal RNA", at positions 26 to 523 of the family's 1533-position model. The record is from RNAcentral.
AGGACGAACGCUGGCGGCGUGCUUAACACAUGCAAGUCGAGCGGAAAGGCCCUUCGGGGUACUCGAGCGGCGAACGGGUGAGUAACACGUGAGUAAUCUGCCCCUAGCUCUGGGAUAGCUCCGGGAAACCGGGAUUAAUACCAGAUACGACCACUUUAGACAUCUGCUGUGGUGGAAAGAAUUUCGGCUAGGGAUGAGCUCGCGGCCUAUCAGCUUGUUGGUGAGGUAACGGCUCACCAAGGCGACGACGGGUAGCCGGCCUGAGAGGGCGACCGGCCACACUGGGACUGAGACACGGCCCAGACUCCUACGGGAGGCAGCAGUGGGGGAAUAUUGCGCAAUGGGCGAAAGCCUGACGCAGCGACGCCGCGUGGGGGAUGAAGGCCUUCGGGUUGUAAACCCUUUCAGCAGGGACGAAGCGAAAGUGACGGUACCUGCAGAAGAAGCGCCGGCUAACUACGUGCCAGCAGCCGCGGUAA